This is a long non-coding RNA of Mus musculus (house mouse), 1209 nucleotides long. RefSeq annotates it as predicted gene, 31594. The transcript has 6 exons. The record is from RefSeq and is a predicted model, not a curated record. Lineage: Eukaryota; Metazoa; Chordata; Mammalia; Rodentia; Muridae.
AUGAAUCAAUAAAGGAAGAGAAUCCUGAGGAGUCAGAAGCUCCCCAGCUUCCAGCACAUUCCACUCAUUCCGUGAUAUAUCAACAAUGUAUUUUGUCCUGAUUUAGAUUCUAAAACAAGCCCGUUUGUUCAGGAGUCUACAAGAUUCAUUGUCUGUUCCUUGAUGUGACUGGGUCAUCGGAAGACUCUGAGUCAUCGUGGGUCCUCUGCUCCCUCUCUCACCUGGAUCAGGUGCUAAGACCCCAUUAGCCAACUCUAAACUGUAAGAUCUACCAGCAACGACAACAACAAAAACAACAACAACAACAACAACAACAAACCCAAAAGCCUGGAAGUGAAGCAUCACAAAAAAACAUUCUAAAGCUUUGUCUUUGUUUAAGGGAGACAUGGAAGAAGAUAAUGGCAGGCAAACUGGCACAUAAGGAAAGGAAGAAAGUCGUCUUUCCGAGCAUCAGCUUCCUUCUGUAUCCCACAGCCGUGUGGACUUUGAUUAACACACAAAGUGCAAAUUUCCAAUUAUAGAUAUCAUUUAGCCACCAUGGCACCAUGAGGGGAAAGAAAAAAAAAAAAAACAUAGUGAAAAUCGAAUCAAAGGCAGUACAUGAAUCAUCAACUCGGAACUCAGACCUCAAAGAUGUCCUGGGCGACCUCAGGCCUGGCUUCCCACUGAAGUGCUUUUGAGACAGGUCCAUCAAAGUGUGGAAUCCUGACUCUGCCAUUCAGUAGCUGCGAGGCUCUGAGUUGGCUUCUUUCAGCCUCGGUUUCCUCUUACUUGAAGUGUGUAUAAUUGUAGCAUAAUUAGCAUCAGCAAUGAUGUUAUAACACCAGCAAUGACUAAUAAUAGCCGUUGGUGACCACUUCAGCUCAGAAACACGUGGCUUAUAGUUAGGUGUUGAAUAUCUCCCUAAAGCUCAUGUGCUGAAGGCCUGGAUGUUGAAUGACGAUAGAAUCUUCAAAAGAAGCCCCCUUGGAAAGAUAUCCUCAAAGGAAGCCUGGCUGCGUCCUUUUCUUCUCUGCAGCUUCCUGGCCGUGAGGCAGGUGAUUUACUCGAUCACAAACUUGCACCACAAAUGAACUGCCUUCCCACCCAAUUGGUCAUGGACAAGAAAAUCCCAAACUGCCCACCAAUAUGAAACUUUUUUUUAAAUAAAUAAAUGCUGCCAUGUAUUUCACCGUAGUGAGCUAAAUUGACGAAUAAAAUGUACCUUUG